RNAcentral lists this ribosomal RNA (1554 nucleotides) under Salmonella enterica subsp. enterica serovar Ouakam str. SA20034636. RNAcentral describes it as "bacterial SSU rRNA". It matches the Rfam family "Bacterial small subunit ribosomal RNA". Lineage: Bacteria; Pseudomonadati; Pseudomonadota; Gammaproteobacteria; Enterobacterales; Enterobacteriaceae. The record is from RNAcentral.
UUAAAUUGAAGAGUUUGAUCAUGGCUCAGAUUGAACGCUGGCGGCAGGCCUAACACAUGCAAGUCGAACGGUAACAGGAAGCAGCUUGCUGCUUCGCUGACGAGUGGCGGACGGGUGAGUAAUGUCUGGGAAACUGCCUGAUGGAGGGGGAUAACUACUGGAAACGGUGGCUAAUACCGCAUAACGUCGCAAGACCAAAGAGGGGGACCUUCGGGCCUCUUGCCAUCAGAUGUGCCCAGAUGGGAUUAGCUGGUUGGUGAGGUAACGGCUCACCAAGGCGACGAUCCCUAGCUGGUCUGAGAGGAUGACCAGCCACACUGGAACUGAGACACGGUCCAGACUCCUACGGGAGGCAGCAGUGGGGAAUAUUGCACAAUGGGCGCAAGCCUGAUGCAGCCAUGCCGCGUGUAUGAAGAAGGCCUUAGGGUUGUAAAGUACUUUCAGCGGGGAGGAAGGUGUUGUGGUUAAUAACCGCAGCAAUUGACGUUACCCGCAGAAGAAGCACCGGCUAACUCCGUGCCAGCAGCCGCGUAAUACGGAGGGUGCAAGCGUUAAUCGGAAUUACUGGCGUAAAGCGCACGCAGGCGGUCUGUCAAGUCGGAUGUGAAAUCCCCGGGCUCAACCUGGGAACUGCAUUCGAAACUGGCAGGCUUGAGUCUUGUAGAGGGGGGUAGAAUUCCAGGUGUAGCGGUGAAAUGCGUAGAGAUCUGGAGGAAUACCGGUGGCGAAGGCGGCCCCCUGGACAAAGACUGACGCUCAGGUGCGAAAGCGUGGGGAGCAAACAGGAUUAGAUACCCUGGUAGUCCACGCCGUAAACGAUGUCUACUUGGAGGUUGUGCCCUUGAGGCGUGGCUUCCGGAGCUAACGCGUUAAGUAGACCGCCUGGGGAGUACGGCCGCAAGGUUAAAACUCAAAUGAAUUGACGGGGGCCCGCACAAGCGGUGGAGCAUGUGGUUUAAUUCGAUGCAACGCGAAGAACCUUACCUGGUCUUGACAUCCACGGAAGUUUUCAGAGAUGAGAAUGUGCCUUCGGGAACCGUGAGACAGGUGCUGCAUGGCUGUCGUCAGCUCGUGUUGUGAAAUGUUGGGUUAAGUCCCGCAACGAGCGCAACCCUUAUCCUUUGUUGCCAGCGAUUAGGUCGGGAACUCAAAGGAGACUGCCAGUGAUAAACUGGAGGAAGGUGGGGAUGACGUCAAGUCAUCAUGGCCCUUACGACCAGGGCUACACACGUGCUACAAUGGCGCAUACAAAGAGAAGCGACCUCGCGAGAGCAAGCGGACCUCAUAAAGUGCGUCGUAGUCCGGAUUGGAGUCUGCAACUCGACUCCAUGAAGUCGGAAUCGCUAGUAAUCGUGGAUCAGAAUGCCACGGUGAAUACGUUCCCGGGCCUUGUACACACCGCCCGUCACACCAUGGGAGUGGGUUGCAAAAGAAGUAGGUAGCUUAACCUUCGGGAGGGCGCUUACCACUUUGUGAUUCAUGACUGGGGUGAAGUCGUAACAAGGUAACCGUAGGGGAACCUGCGGUUGGAUCACCUCCUUACCUUAAAGAAGC